GCCGGGCAUGGUGGCGGGUGCCUGUAAUCCCAGCUACUCUGGAGGCUGAGGUGAAAGGAUCGCUUGAACCUAGGAGGUAGAGGUUGCAGUGAGCUGAGAUCGUGCCACUGCCCUCCAGCCUGGGUGACAGGGCGAGACUCCAUCUCAA
This 148-nucleotide non-coding RNA is filed under the name Homo sapiens (human). Lineage: Eukaryota; Metazoa; Chordata; Mammalia; Primates; Hominidae. The record is from Rfam by way of RNAcentral.